CCUACGGGAGGCAGCAGUAGGGAAUAUUGCUCAAUGGGGGAAACCCUGAAGCAGCAACGCCGCGUGGAGGAUGAAGGUUUUCGGAUUGUUAACUCCUUUUGUUAGAGAAGAUAAUGACGGUAUCUAACGAAUAAGCACCGGCUAACUCCGUGCCAGCAGCCGCGGUAAUACGGAGGGUGCAAGCGUUACUCGGAAUCACUGGGCGUAAAGAGCGCGUAGGCGGGAUAGCAAGUCAGAUGUGAAAUCCUAUGGCUUAACCAUAGGACUGCAUUUGAAACUGUUAUUCUAGAGUAUGGGAGAGGUAGGUGGAAUGCGUGGUGUAGGGGUGAAAUGCAUAGAGAGCAAG
This 346-nucleotide ribosomal RNA is filed under the name uncultured bacterium. RNAcentral describes it as "partial 16S ribosomal RNA". It matches the Rfam family "Bacterial small subunit ribosomal RNA", at positions 338 to 701 of the family's 1533-position model. The record is from RNAcentral.